RNAcentral lists this ribosomal RNA (254 nucleotides) under uncultured bacterium. RNAcentral's name for it is "partial 16S ribosomal RNA". It matches the Rfam family "Bacterial small subunit ribosomal RNA", at positions 524 to 776 of the family's 1533-position model. The record is from RNAcentral.
UACGGAGGGGGCUAGCGUUGUUCGGAAUUACUGGGCGUAAAGCGCACGUAGGCGGCUUUGUAAGUUAGAGGUGAAAGCCCCGGGGCUCAACUCCGGAAUUGCCUUUAAGACUGCAUCGCUAGAAUUGUGGAGAGGUAAGUGGAAUUCCGAGUGUAGAGGUGAAAUUCGUAGAUAUUGGGAAGAACACCAGUGGCGAAGGCGGCUCACUGGACUGGUAUUGACGCUGAGGUGCGAAAGCGUGGGGAGCAAACAGG